AUUACAGGCCUAACACAUGCAAGUCGAGGGGCAUGCAUGAUCAAGCUUGCUUCUGAUUGAUGGCGACCGGCGCACGGAUGAGUAAGCAGUAUCCAACCUUCCCCUUAGUAUGGCAUAGGCCGGCGAGAGUCGGAUUAAUACCCUAUGUUCUUCGUAGAAGACAUCUGAAAUGAAGCAAGGUUUACCGCUAAGGGGAUGGGGGAUGCGUCCGAUUAGGUGGUCGGCGGGGUAACGGGCCCACCGAUGUCCUUCUUAUCGUGUAGGGGUUCUGAGAGGAAAGGCCCCCCCAAAACUGGGUAACUGAGACACGGGACCAGACUCCUACGGGAGGCAGCAGUGAAGAAUAUUGGUCAAAGGAACAACAAACCCAAAACCA
This 376-nucleotide ribosomal RNA is filed under the name uncultured rumen bacterium. RNAcentral's name for it is "bacterial SSU rRNA". It matches the Rfam family "Bacterial small subunit ribosomal RNA", at positions 43 to 390 of the family's 1533-position model. The record is from RNAcentral.